RNAcentral lists this ribosomal RNA (505 nucleotides) under uncultured bacterium. RNAcentral describes it as "partial 16S ribosomal RNA". It matches the Rfam family "Bacterial small subunit ribosomal RNA", at positions 28 to 507 of the family's 1533-position model. The record is from RNAcentral.
GACGAACGCUGGCGGCGUGCCUAAUACAUGCAAGUAGAACGCACAGUUUAUACCGUAGCUUGCUACACCAUAGACUGUGAGUUGCGAACGGGUGAGUAACGCGUAGGUAACCUGCCUGGUAGCGGGGGAUAACUAUUGGAAACGAUAGCUAAUACCGCAUAAUAUUGAUUAUUGCAUGAUAAUUGAUUGAAAGAUGCUAUUGCAUCACUACCAGAUGGACCUGCGUUGUAUUAGCUAGUAGGUGAGGUAACGGCUCACCUAGGCGAUGAUACAUAGCCGACCUGAGAGGGUGAUCGGCCACACUGGGACUGAGACACGGCCCAGACUCCUACGGGAGGCAGCAGUAGGGAAUCUUCGGCAAUGGACGAAAGUCUGACCGAGCAACGCCGCGUGAGUGAAGAAGGUUUUCGGAUCGUAAAGCUCUGUUGUAAGAGAAGAACGGGUGUGAGAGUGGAAAGUUCACACUGUGACGGUAUCUUAACAGAAAGGGACGGCUAACUACGUG